UACAGAGGGUGCGAGCGUUGUUCGGAAUUACUGGGCGUAAAGCGCGCGCAGGCGGCCCUUUAAGUCUGACGGUGAAAUGCCGGGGCUCAACCCCGUGCCCGCCGCGGAUACUGGAGGGCUGGAGACACGUAGAGGCAAGCGGAAUUCCGGGUGUAGCGGUGGAAUGCGUAGAGAUCCGGAAGAACACCGGAGGCGAAGGCGGCUUGCUGGGCGUAGUCUGACGCUGAGGCGCGAAAGCGUGGGGAGCAAACGGG
RNAcentral lists this ribosomal RNA (254 nucleotides) under uncultured bacterium. RNAcentral describes it as "partial 16S ribosomal RNA". It matches the Rfam family "Bacterial small subunit ribosomal RNA", at positions 524 to 776 of the family's 1533-position model. The record is from RNAcentral.